UACGAAGGGGGCUAGCGUUGUUCGGAAUUACUGGGCGUAAAGCGCGCGCAGGCGGCUAUCCCAGUCAGUGGUGAAAGCCCGGGGCUCAACUCCGGAACUGCCGUUGAAACUGUUUAGCUUGAGGACGAGAGAGGUGAGUGGAAUUCCCAGUGUAGAGGUGAAAUGCGUAGAGAUUGGGAAGAACACCGGUGGCGAAGGCGGCUCACUGGCUCGUAUCUGACGCUGAGGCGCGACAGCGUGGGGAUCAAACAGG
Molecule: ribosomal RNA, 253 nt
Filed under: uncultured bacterium
Lineage: Bacteria
Description: partial 16S ribosomal RNA
Rfam family: Bacterial small subunit ribosomal RNA
Source: RNAcentral